This 68-nucleotide transfer RNA is filed under the name Agriotes sp. GTI-106. RNAcentral's name for it is "tRNA-Asp". Lineage: Eukaryota; Metazoa; Arthropoda; Insecta; Coleoptera; Elateridae. The record is from RNAcentral.
AAAGAUUUAGUUAAAUUAUAACAUUAACUUGUCAAGUUAAAAUAAUUAAUUAAAAUUAAUAAUUUUUG